RNAcentral lists this non-coding RNA (31 nucleotides) under Mus musculus (house mouse). Lineage: Eukaryota; Metazoa; Chordata; Mammalia; Rodentia; Muridae. The record is from RNAcentral.
UUAUAGGUGAUUUGCCUGAAUGUAUGGCUGU